ACUGGCGGCAGCAGCAGAGAGUAGUGCGCCACUUUCCCGCCCAGACAGAGUAACCGCCUCACGUAGCUAGUUAUGUGAGGUAACUUCGUACCGGGGGACCCACCAAUAAUAAUAAUAAUAAUGUGUAAUAUAUUUAUGUAGGCAUGCAAGAUAUUAUGCCACCUGUGUAUGUUGUAAGUACAAAUCAGUUAUCACGGUCAGCGCACACAUGCAGCAGCCCCUGUCCUUCCGUGCAAAAGACCUGGCUGAAAUGUUGAUCAAGGAUAUCCUGGAGCUAGAAAAGGUUCAGAGGCGGGCGACCAAACUAAUCAAGAGCAUGGAGACGCUGGAAUACGAGGAAAGGCUUGCAAGGCUAGGCCCUCCUACUUCUAUGUCCGUUAUUACCCAGUUUUGUUUUAUCGCUGUUAUUUCCAGUUGAUAAGUGCAACGAAAAUUGCUGCGCUAUAUGUAAAACUGUUAAUAAACAAGGUCCUAAUAGGGCUGCUUUAUUUUAUUUUUUAUUA
Molecule: long non-coding RNA, 503 nt
Organism: Pseudophryne corroboree (corroboree frog)
Lineage: Eukaryota; Metazoa; Chordata; Amphibia; Anura; Myobatrachidae
Exons: 2
Source: RefSeq, a predicted model, not a curated record